GCGUACACGGUGGAUGCCCUGGCAGUCAGAGGCGAUGAAGGACGUGCUAAUCUGCGAUAAGCGUCGGUAAGGUGAUAUGAACCGUUAUAACCGGCGAUUUCCGAAUGGGGAAACCCAGUGUGAUUCGUCACACUAUCAUUAACUGAAUCCAUAGGUUAAUGAGGCGAACCGGGGGAACUGAAACAUCUAAGUACCCCGAGGAAAAGAAAUCAACCGAGAUUCCCCCAGUAGCGGCGAGCGAACGGGGAGCAGCCCAGAGCCUGAAUCAGUGUGUGUGUUAGUGGAAGCGUCUGGAAAGGCGCGCGAUACAGGGUGACAGCCCCGUACACAAAAAUGCACAUGCUGUGAGCUCGAUGAGUAGGGCGGGACACGUGGUAUCCUGUCUGAAUAUGGGGGGACCAUCCUCCAAGGCUAAAUACUCCUGACUGACCGAUAGUGAACCAGUACCGUGAGGGAAAGGCGAAAAGAACCCCGGCGAGGGGAGUGAAAAAGAACCUGAAACCGUGUACGUACAA
This 515-nucleotide ribosomal RNA is filed under the name Escherichia coli. Its description in RNAcentral is "partial 23S ribosomal RNA". It matches the Rfam family "Bacterial large subunit ribosomal RNA", at positions 15 to 569 of the family's 2925-position model. The record is from RNAcentral. Lineage: Bacteria; Pseudomonadati; Pseudomonadota; Gammaproteobacteria; Enterobacterales; Enterobacteriaceae.